RNAcentral lists this long non-coding RNA (2621 nucleotides) under Homo sapiens (human). RNAcentral's name for it is "HSALNT0307139". Lineage: Eukaryota; Metazoa; Chordata; Mammalia; Primates; Hominidae. The record is from RNAcentral.
UCCGUUCGCCUCGGCCUCCCAAAGUGCCAGGAUUACAGGCAUGAGCCACCGCGCCUGGCCGUAACUGAUUCUUUAUAUAUAAUUGUUGCCUAAUUCCUAGCAUACUGAGAUCCUAUUUAUUUAUUUAUUUAUUUAUUUAUUUAUUUAUUUAUUUAUUUUCUGAGAUCUAAUUUAGACCAUGGAGAAGAAAAACAAAAAGGUGGUAUUAAUAAACUGCUUUGGGGAGUAAAAGAACCUCUUAGAAUCCACGACAUCAUGGAUGGAAGAGAUCCUUAAGGAGGGAAUGAAGCACAGCUCAGAGUGGGAAGGUUAGCAAUGUUCAAGACCAAAGUUAAUCAUCUCUACAUGAGUCAAUUGAAAGAAAAGAAUUAAAAGCAUUAAAAAAAAAACAAUAUGAGUAAUGGGAGGAGCUGAUGAAGCCUGCUGCCCAGAUGAGGAUUGGAAACUAUUUAAACUGGAUAAUACAGUAUGUGUUUUAGCUCUGAGAAAACAGAAGUUGAACUUUUGAGUAGUAAUCAAGGGCACGGUCUCAAAGUAUUUGCAAAUAGUGCUGGUAUGGAGAACAGAUGCCGACAUUAUUGCCAAUGGGAAUCACAAUGUGAUAGUUGGAGUGAGAGACUAAAAGAAACCACAGGGAAUUUUUGCAGAAAGCUUGGCAUUGAACAUGAUUUAUGGUUGAUUUAAGAAGGAGACAAGGAAAAUAAGGCUACAGUGUAUACCAUCUGACUGCUGCGGACCAAGGAUGUAAACAGUUAGCCAUGGCUCUCCAACCUCCUGGAAAUCAGGAUUCUGCUCAUACAGAAAGGCGCCAGAAUGUUUGUCUGAGUUAAGUGCAUACUUCUUUUUUAGUAUCUAAGAAUAGUUAUCCUCCUUUCCUCUCCCAUUACUGCUUGGGUAUCCUUAAAAAUCCUCACCAGCUAUUAAGUAUCAUGGAGUUACGCAAAGAGGUCUGCAGGGAACUUGAUGGCUUCCCAAAGUGGAUCAGAGAACCUCACAGGAGGCCCUAGGCUUGAAAGGAUGAUUGCAGAAAGGAUGACCUACAAGUGGAUGGUCAGAUCUGGCUGCAAAUGGAUGUCUGAAAGAAAACGGGGAUCCUAGGAAACCCAUCACAGCCCUCUAUGAGCUUCAGAAACCAGCAAGCAGUCCCAGCUAAGGUCCCGGUCAGCAGCCAGCAUUGACCACCAGAUGUGUGAAUGAAGAGGCCUUCAGAUGAUUGCAGCCCCUAUUGUUAAGGCAACCCCAACCUCCGAGUCUUCCCAGCAGAGGAUUCAGCUACUAUGGAGUCAAGAUAAGUCAUUCCCACUGUACCCUGUCUGGGGUCCUGACACAUGAAGAUUGGAAGUGGUUUGUCACAUAGCAAUAGUAACUGAAACACUGGGAGAGGGACGUCUUUAAGAGGAGAAAUUAAGUUCCCAAUGAGAUUUUAAAGAUGUACUAAUGAAACAAUCAAGUAGAGAUAUCAAGUAGUUAGUUGGACAUGUGAGCGUAAGCAGACUUCUUGGCUGGAGAUAUACUAAUGGCAAACAGCAUAUGGAUGUCAUUUAAUUUCCCAGGCCUGGGUGAGAUCACCUACAGCAGGAGGUGGACAGAGAAGAGGAGCUGGUUCAAGACCUCAUUCUGAGGAAGCCCAGUAUUUAGAGGUAGGGAAGAGAAGGAAGAGCCAGAAAAGGGAAUUGAGACAGAGUGCCCAGGGAGGCAAGAAAAAAAAAACACCCAAGAGAAUGGUUUGUCACAAAAGCUGAGAGAGAACAUUAUUUCCAGAACAAAGAGAGCGGUCAACUUUGUGGGAAACUAUUGAGAGUCAAAAAAGAUAAGAGAAAAAUGGUCAUUAGAUUUGGCAACAAAGAGAUCACUUGAGACCUUGAAAAGAACAAUUUCAGUGGGAGUGGAUGGGGCAGACACAUAAUGGGGGUUUUGAUCUCUCAGGGAAAGAAGAGCAGUCUAUUAUUUCAGAAAAAGUUGGAUCAGCCAUGCCAUAUGCAGCUAGCUUAAGUGCUACUGAAACGACACAAUUUACCUGCUUAGACAAACAGCAUAAUGUAGCAAACAGCAUAAAUUUUUAGCAUUAGACAGAACUGGGUUGAAAUUCUACAGACAAAUUACUUAAACUCAUUAUGGUUCAGUUUGUUUAUCUGUAAACUGCAGAGGAAAAAACCACUUUUCUUCUAUUCUCCUAGGUUCUACAGUUAGGAACCUAGAAAUUGAACUGACAAAAGACAGGUUAACAAGAGAAAAACAGAGCUUAUGAAUGUGUGCAAUGCACAUGCAUUUGGGAGAAACUCAGUGAUGAGUGUAACUUGCAGGAGUAGUUGUUAUGUAGCAUCGUAACAAAGAUGCUACAUAAAAACUACUCAGUGAUGAGUAGUUUGCAGGAGUAGUUGUUAUGUAGCAUCGUAACGAAGAAUGGUGUAUUUGUAGAGAUGUGGCAAAACGAAGGAAAAGGGGUUUAAGCUUUUGGAGUGACAAAUUGUGGGGAGGUAAAUAUGUGGAGAGAAACUAAUGGAAAAUAGGAGUUAUUUUAUUAGGGUUUACUAUGUAGGUACCUUUUGGUGCUAUCUCUGGGCUAGAGUUAUCUCCUCGUCUCUAGUGAUUAUGAGUCUAAGAGUUUCCUCUUCCUGGUA